RNAcentral lists this ribosomal RNA (253 nucleotides) under uncultured bacterium. RNAcentral's name for it is "partial 16S ribosomal RNA". It matches the Rfam family "Bacterial small subunit ribosomal RNA", at positions 524 to 776 of the family's 1533-position model. The record is from RNAcentral.
UACAGAGGGUGCGAACGUUGCUCGGAAUUACUGGGCGUAAAGCGCGUGUAGGUGGACAUUUAAGUCGGGUGUGAAAUCCCCGGGCUCAACCUGGGAAUUGCAUUCGAUACUGAAUGUCUAGAGUAUGGUAGAGGGUAGUGGAACUUUCGGUGUAGCGGUGAAAUGCGUAGAUAUCGGAAAGAACACCAGUGGCGAAGGCGGCUACCUGGACCAAUACUGACACUUAAGCGCGAAAGCGUGGGGAGCAAACAGG